GUACAUUCAUCGCAUUUAUUUUACUUUCAGCUGUUAUAAUUGAUAGUCUAUAUAAUGUAUAUAUAUGAGGUUUUUUAAUAUAAAUAUGGGUUUGUGAGAGUGCCACUUAAGAUCAGUCUGUAACACGUUAUUUAGAGAUUAUUUACAGGAUGUUGGUACCUUUCCCACUUUUUUUUUUGUUUAUAGUUUAAGAGGACUGAAGGGAGAAACACAAUUUAGCAUGAGAUUGAUUUUACAUCAGCUGGGUUUACAUGAAAUACUAUUACAGUAUUAAAGAAUUGCAUUGUCAUCUCUUGCUGUGGGGUUGCAUUAUGUUCUGUAGCCUUGGCUCACUUAUUAAUCUUCCAGUAACGCACACUUAAUUGUUCAGCAAAUGACACAACAUAUGAGGAAAUAAUACCUACGAUGUGAUUUAUAUCUCUCCAGGCAAAGACACUGAGAACUGAAUCAUCUGCCUUCGCUUAUUGUACUGCAGCACAGGAACAGCCAAAGGAUCUGAACACUGUGGCCAGUUGGGACCCACUGAAAACAUGUACCCUGGAAAUAAAAGAUUUUUAAAAGACAAAAGGAAGACACCAUGUGAAAACAUCACUAUGGAAACAUCACGGGCUCGCUUGCACUCGCCUGCCAAGCGACUACCUAACCCAAGUUUUACAUCCUAUUGGAUCACUGUUGGCCAUCUGCUCUCCUUCAAACUUCUCUGAAUUCCUUAUUUCCCUGAAAAGUUCAUUUUUAGAAAAGGAGGGAGGAGGAGGCAAGGGGAGAAUCCGGCGUUCUUGGCUAGAGGAGAGCUAUUGUGAAAAAGGAAGAUAAACUCACUUUGGGGCAGCCCCUUAAAAAGACAAAGAUCCGUGUUUUGCAAAGUAAUUUCAUAGAAAAUACCCCGUUUCUAGAUGGACUUUAACGAUAAGAGUAUAUAUUGGCAGCCACAAGGCAAAACAAACAAACAGCUGCUUCUAGUACUCUGGCACUAAUUGUCUUCCUCUCCCCUGCUCUCAUUUAGCGUCAAAUGUAUUUUCUUCUAAAAUGUAGCAGUUACUGCCUACACUGGAGCUGUUGGCUGCAGGCUCCCCAGCCUUGCUCCAAAUAAAACACAGAAAUAGAUUUCCUGCCA
Molecule: long non-coding RNA, 1114 nt
Filed under: Calidris pugnax (ruff)
Lineage: Eukaryota; Metazoa; Chordata; Aves; Charadriiformes; Scolopacidae
Description: lncRNA (ENSCPUG00000004400.1)
Source: RNAcentral